UGGCCCAUUUCAGUGGUCUCCAUCCACAGUGAGGAGAUCCGGUGGCCCGUCUCCUGCGCUCCACUCCACCACCACCACCAUCUUUGAGAUAAAACACUGGCUUUAGGUUCUUAGAGCAGCAGCGGCGGCAGUAGUAGUGGGCUGGCGCUGCAGUUGCGCUGGCACACAUUCAACGUGGGCGCACACACGGUGAGAGAGAGAGACAGCCAGAGAGAGAGAGAGAGAUCCGCCGCCGCAUCUUGUGGAUUUCUUUGCGCUCCAGCCCGUGUUCAUGAUUCUCCCUGCUUCUCCUCGCCCACAAACACGCCAGGAGUUGAUUUCUCUUCUCGGGGAAAAAUGUGGAGUCGCAGAGUUGCGGCGGUCCUGGUUUUACUUCGUCUCAUCGGGGACUCGCUGGCAGGGUUUCCAAACCAAAUCAACAUCGGUGGACUGUUCAUGCGCUCCACGGUGCAGGAGCACAGCGCCUUUAGGUUUGCUGUCCAGCUCUACAACACCAACCAGAAUGUGACAGAAAAACCUUUUCACCUCAAUUAUAAUGUUGACAACUUGGAGUCGUCGAACAGUUUCUCUGUCACACAUGCCUUCUGCUCCCAGUUCUCCCGGGGAGUCUAUGCCAUCUUCGGCUUCUACGACCGCAAGUCCAUGAACACGCUGACCUCCUUCUGCGGCGCCCUGCACACUUCCUUCAUCACGCCCAGCUUCCCCAUCGACGCCGACGUGCAGUUUGUCAUCCAGAUGAGGCCCAGUUUGAGGGGAGCCAUUCUCAGCCUGCUGGACCAUUACAAGUGGGAGAGGUUCGUCUAUCUUUACGACACCGACAGAGGCUUUGCAAUCCUCCAGGCCAUAAUGGAGUCGGCGGUAGCCAAUAACUGGCAGGUGACGGCUCGCUCUGUUGGGAACGUGAACGUCUCAACGUACACACAAAUCAUCAGGGAGAUGGACAACCGGCAGGAGAAACGUUUUCUCAUCGACUGUGAGGUGGAUAGGAUCGACUUAAUACUCCAGGAGGUGGUGGCCUUAGGGAAGAACACCAGGGGAUACCACUAUAUCGUAGCCAACCUGGGGAUCUCCAACACGAGUCUGGACAAGGUCUUUUCUGGUGGGGCCAACAUCACAAGCUUCCAAAUCAUCAACCCAGACAGCCCCAUCGUGCAGCAGUUCCUCCAGCGCUGGGAGCGCUUGGAUGAAAGAGAAUUUCCAGAAGCCAAAAACACUCCACUGAAGUACACAUCAGCGCUGACCCACGAUGCCAUCCUGGUGAUCGCGGAGGCCUUCCGGUAUCUUCGGCGCCAGCGAGUAGACGUGUCACGCAGAGGAAGUGCAGGUGACUGCCUCGCCAACCCCGCUGUGCCUUGGAGCCAGGGCAUCGACAUAGAGAGGGCACUCAAAAUGGUUCAAGUACCAGGUAUGACAGGAAACAUCCAGUUUGACACAUUUGGGCGACGGUCUAAUUACACAAUUGAUGUGUACGAGAUGAAGCCCAAAGGUCCCAGGAGGAUCGGCUACUGGAAUGAGUACGAAAAAUUUGUAUAUAUUAUGGAUCAGCAGGUCACCAACGAAUCCUCUUCUGUGGAAAACCGAACAAUUGUGGUCACUACUAUUAUGGAAGCGCCGUAUGUGAUGUACAAGAAAAACUAUAUGCAGAUGGACGGCAAUGACAGAUAUGAAGGCUACUGUGUCGAUUUAGCUUCUGAAAUUGCAAAGCAUGUGGGGAUAAAAUAUAAGCUGUCGAUAGUGCCAGAUGGAAAAUACGGAGCCAGAGACCCGGACACCAAGACAUGGAACGGGAUGGUGGGUGAACUGGUUUAUGGGAGAGCUGACAUAGCCGUGGCUCCUCUCACCAUUACGUUGGUACGGGAGGAGGUGAUAGACUUCUCUAAACCCUUCAUGAGCUUGGGAAUCUCUAUUAUGAUUAAGAAGCCUCAAAAGUCCAAGCCAGGAGUGUUUUCCUUCCUGGACCCGCUGGCCUAUGAGAUUUGGAUGUGCAUAGUGUUUGCCUAUAUUGGCGUGAGCGUGGUACUCUUCCUGGUGAGCCGUUUCAGCCCCUAUGAGUGGCACUUGGAUGAGAACGAUGAGGCCAAAGACCCUCAGAGCCCCCCUGACCCUCCAAACGACUUUGGGAUUUUUAAUAGCCUGUGGUUCUCCCUGGGCGCCUUCAUGCAGCAAGGAUGCGAUAUCUCACCAAGGUCUCUGUCGGGCCGUAUUGUCGGGGGAGUGUGGUGGUUCUUCACCCUCAUCAUCAUCUCUUCCUACACGGCCAACCUGGCUGCCUUUCUCACCGUGGAGAGGAUGGUCUCUCCCAUCGAGAGUGCAGAGGAUCUGGCCAAGCAGACGGAAAUCGCCUACGGCACGCUAGACUCCGGCUCAACUAAGGAGUUCUUUAGGCGCUCCAAAAUAGCCGUUUAUGAGAAAAUGUGGUCGUACAUGAAAUCGGCCGAACCCACCGUGUUUGUCAAGACGACACCGGACGGGGUCUCCCGGGUCCGGAAGUCGAAGGGCAAGUUUGCCUUUCUGCUCGAAUCCACAAUGAACGAGUACAUAGAGCAGCGGAAGCCCUGCGACACCAUGAAAGUGGGCGGCAACCUCGACUCUAAGGGCUACGGUGUGGCCACACCUAAAAGCUCAGCAUUAAGCUGCCCAACUUUUUUUGAACACAGAAAAGGCCAUUGUUGCCCUGACAAAACCAAAGAGACACUUGAUAGCAAGUAAGUGGCCAGGAGGUAUUUAAUAGUCACACUGACAUAUGAUGGAUUGUCAGAGUAACAAACAUUUUUUAUGCAUUUUCAAUUAUCAUAAAAUAUCUAGCUUGCAUACAAGCAAUCCGACUUUUACCAUAUAAAAGCAGAUUUAACUGGUUUUGGAACCGUUCCAUUGGGUUUUAAUGCAAAUGGUAACACUUGCAGAAAUGAAUUUCAAUCUUACUGUUUGGCUUUUAAUAGCAGCAAAAUGGUUCAGUUCCCCUUUUUUACAGCUUGCUACUCUGACUGUACAGAUGCAGUAUUGUCAAGGUUGAGUUCAGCAGCUAUGGUAGUAAAUUGAAGCUAAUCUGUAGACCUGUACGACCACGACCGCCUUCCUCUGUGUGGCCUCGUAAAGAGACCACAAAGCAGGAUAGUCGACAAGUCUCUCUACAUUCACCUUCUCAGGGAUUUCUUUGUAGAUUGAUUAAGAGGAGGAGGUCUGUAUAUGAACUGUUUUUAGUCAGAUUAGGCAGUUAUACUUCAGGAUGUCUAUACACACAUUUAGCGACCUCCUCAGAGUAAUUGCUAGAGAUAGAGUAGCAGUGUUCAUGUAGGUUUUGUGCCUCUCAGUGUCCGUUUAAAACCCCUUAAUGGUGGUCUGUACCUCUCCCAGGACAAGACAAGUGCAUUGAGCCUGAGCAACGUGGCAGGCGUCUUCUAUAUUCUGGUCGGGGGGCUCGGCUUGGCUAUGACCGUUGCUUUGAUAGAGUUCUGCUAUAAGUCACGGCAGGAAACAAAAAAGCUCAAGCUGGCGAAGAACGCCCAAAACUUUAAGCCAGCCCCUCCAGCAAACGCCCAGAAUUUUGCCACAUACCGUGAAGGCUACAACGUCUACGGCACGGAGAGUGUGAAAAUCUAAAGGGUGAUUCUUAAACCCCACUGGUGCAUUAAGGAUAGAAAGAGCCACUCCGACACAUGACACGUGACCCCGACAACCCUCCACCCCUCGAAGGUGGGCAUCCUGGAAGUGACGCUUUCCUCGUCAUCAGCUUGGACUCAAGCCAAUAAGUCAACACGUGCUCAUUUGGGGUUAUGAGCUGUCACACUAACAGAGGGCAAUCACACACAUCUGGACUUCUGAUUGCGGGAACAUGGGAAUUGCCUCUUGUAGUGCCUUAAGGAGCAUUUUUGGCGUCAUGGCAAUGCAGAUAAAAUUAAAUUAACUUGAUAAACACAGAACAAAAAACAAAAAAAAAGAAAUCCAUGGAAACGGCAGCGAUCGGAUAAGAAACGGCUUCAUGUAGAUGGACUGAUGUAAUUACUGUUUUAUAUUUUGAAGACGACACACACACAAAAAAAGCCAUGGUUUGCAAUGAAAUCCCUGAGGUACUUAAGUAAUUUAAAUCCUUUAAAGAGAUAUUUUUGUGGUGAAACCUUAAGUUGGAUAAAUGUUAUGUUUAGUGAGGUAAAGUCCUUUUCUUGUGUUAUUAUAAGGAUAUUUCCAGUGUCAGAACAUUUAGGACAAGCAUCAGUAACAUAAAUAAGGUUAAGGAUCAGUUGAACUGGCAGCAUUUUCUACCAGUUUUUUUUUUUUUUUUUUUUUUUUUUGAUACUCCAAUUUCAACACGUCAUGCUUGUGUACAUCUGAAACAGCUGGGAUGGUGUUUGUUUCAUAGCCUACCGGACAUUCAACCUACUCUGUAUUUACUUGGAUGCUUGUUUUAAAUCAAGUACGUCAUUUGUUUAAAACUGCCAGUUUUGGAAAGAAAAAAAAAAAGGGGGAGACAUU
Gambusia affinis (western mosquitofish) is the source of this 4470-nucleotide RNA transcript. It is a transcript of the gene named glutamate receptor, ionotropic, AMPA 3a, with no coding region annotated. The transcript is spliced from 15 exons. Lineage: Eukaryota; Metazoa; Chordata; Actinopteri; Cyprinodontiformes; Poeciliidae. The record is from RefSeq and is a predicted model, not a curated record.